Molecule: long non-coding RNA, 1485 nt
Organism: Papaver somniferum (opium poppy)
Lineage: Eukaryota; Viridiplantae; Streptophyta; Magnoliopsida; Ranunculales; Papaveraceae
Exons: 7
Source: RefSeq, a predicted model, not a curated record
GUUAGAACCGCCUAAACUUACCCUAACUCUAGCAGUAGCUUUACUUUCGUAUCUCUUUCCCGCGAUCUCUGCCUGCUCUUUAUGUAAAGAAAAAAAACCAAGUCAAUCCACAACUACUUCCCGAACGGAAGUCAGAAGAAUCCCCAUUUUCCUCACCUCAAACCCUAAUACUAGGCAGUUGAUCUUGUCUCUCAAUCUCUCAUAAUUCUUUCAUUCCAUUCAUGUUAUGAAACCAUUGAAUCAAAUAUCUAUUCAUGUUAAGAUCAAUCGAAGUUAUCUUUUCUAAACCCAUAUCUCAUAAACUAAAUCCAUCCUCAGAAACCAAACCCAAUCUUCAGUACUCCAGAUUUCGUAUUGAACCCUAGAAUAUAGAUUUUUUCGACAUAAUCUCCAGCAAACUAAUCUCUGCAUGACAUCUUGCUGACAAGUCCAAGAAGAUGAGUUUAUAAGACCCUAGAUUCCUUGUUUAUGCUGAUGAUAUAUUGAGAAGAUUAGUCCAAAGCAGAGAAGCAGGAAGAAUUAGAUUUUCGGGGUUCUCAAGCAGAAUGGCUUGUGGUAGCCUGAAGAUAAGCAUUGCUAGAGUAUGAGAGAUCCAUCCCUUUUAUCUUUAAGUGAAAUUGAGUACACUUAAAAGCUUGAGGCAGCUGGCCUGAAAUUUGUGGUGGGGAUGAAAGUGGAACGUACUUGAGAGCUUCCAAGUCACCAUUUUUAGACGGAAGUGCAAUUCCAUCCCAUGUUCAAAUUAAGACCUGGACGGCCUUCUGCUUUAAAUCUAUCGCUGAAGCAUGAAUUUUUUUCCAGUAUGGAUAGCGAUUCUUUUUCUCCGGCUAGACUGUAAAAGUUCAUAUUUUAUAGUAUAUAGUUUAAAAUCUCUCUUAACAGUAAAAAUUGCGCAACUGUAGGUCUUAUAUUGCCAGCGAGCGGGGAAGUUGCAAGCGUACAUUGACAAGCAGCAACAUUGAAACUAGGACAGAAGUUGAUUUUCUUCGGUCGUCAUCUGAUACUUUUCAUGUUUGAUUCUUCACAAGACUAAACUUUAUGCUGCUGCGCUUGCUCCAUUCAAGGCUUACGAAGGAAACUUCUGGGGUGCCAAAACAAUCCCAAGCACAGCAUGAGAUGCUCAACAUGCUGAAGCCAUGGCUCUUCUUGCAGCCGUACUAUUGGCUAGCGAGCUGGAACUACAGUUUACUUCGUACGUGACUGGAGUUAUUACCAACUCUAUCAAUGCUUCUAAGUCUAGUGUUUAGCGGACUACUAUCGUUCUGAAGAUGUAUGUUAUGCUAGUAGUGUUCAAAUCACCAUAGUUAACCAUUGUUAUAGUGGUUUCUGUCAUGUUUUCUGGAUUUUUGGUGUAAAUAAUGUUGAUAGUAUUGAAUAUUCGAAAUAAAAUAGUCUUCAGGUUUCUGUGCAUGGACAGGAAUCAAUUUAUUUUGCAACAUUUGAUUAGGUCUUAUUUGGAAUAAAAUUUCUGUUAAUUCCGGGUAA